This 322-nucleotide ribosomal RNA is filed under the name uncultured eukaryote. RNAcentral's name for it is "partial 18S ribosomal RNA". It matches the Rfam family "Eukaryotic small subunit ribosomal RNA", at positions 1470 to 1796 of the family's 1831-position model. The record is from RNAcentral.
CCCUUAGAUGUUCUGGGCCGCACGCGUGCUACACUGAGUGGAUCAGCGGGUCAGGUUGCGCGAAAGCGUUUCCUAAUCUUUAAAUCCGCUCGUGAUGGGGAUUGACGGUUGCAGUUUUCUGUCAUGAACGAGGAAUACCUUGUAAGCGCGGGUCAUCAUCCCGCGCUGAAUACGUCCCUGCCCUUUGUACACACCGCCCGUCGCUCCUACCGAUUGAGUGGUCCGGUGAGGCUUUGGGAUCUGAGCGGAAAGAGCGUUUCGCUGUUUCUGCUCGGAAAACUCAGUCGAACCUUAUCAUUUAGAGGAAGGAGAAGUCGUAACA